UGGGGAAUAUUGGGCAAUGGGCGCAAGCCUGACCCAGCGACGCCGCGUGAGGGAUGAAGGUCUUCGGAUUGUAAACCUCUUUCAGUGGGGAAGAAGCGAAAGUGACGGUACCCAAAGAAGAAGCACCGGCUAACUAU
Molecule: ribosomal RNA, 137 nt
Filed under: uncultured Actinomycetes bacterium
Lineage: Bacteria; Bacillati; Actinomycetota; Actinomycetes
Description: uncultured actinobacterium partial 16S ribosomal RNA
Rfam family: Bacterial small subunit ribosomal RNA
Source: RNAcentral